CCCUUCCUCACUCAGCUGGCUGUCAGCUAUUGUCAGUGGCGCCGAGCCGAGCUCCCAGACGCAGCAUCUCACAGCAGGUGCCCUUCCUCCCCACUCACCCCUUUGGCCUGGACGGCAGUAAAUCAACAUAUUUUGUUGAUUGAGACUGCUUUCUUGUGGCAUCUAAACAGUGCUGAUAAGAUGAGGUCAGGAAGUGGCUGUGUGCUGGGGGCGUGGCUACAGUUACAUGACAGGCCUGUGGGCUAAUAGAAACAGUAUAGUGUUGGGAGGGUAGAACCUGUUCUGUGUACACUGUACACAGGAAGAGGAAGCAUAAUGGAACUGUGCGUUCCAUUUCUUUCUGUCCUGUGUUCCACUUUACUUUGCUGCACAGAGUGAGAGCACACUGCAUUCCUGCACCCAGAGACCAGCCAGAGGGACUAUCCUGCCAGUCUGCCACAGGGACCAUCCUGCCAGUCAGUCACAGGGACCAGCCUGUUGCAGAGGGGCCAUACAACCGAUUGCAGAUAUCAUCCGGGGAAAGUCGUCUUCACCACAUGGUCAAAUUGAGAGAAUAAGGAGAGAAAACAUAGACCCUUCAUGUUCUUCACCACUACAAAUAACAUCGUCCAGUUACAGCCCUUAAAUUGCUCCUCGAUAAAAAGUCCAUUAUUCUUCCUACCUCAUACUCUAUACUGUGACCACUAUGGGGGAGAAGCAUCAAGCCUUGGAGAGAGAUAAUUUUCUGAAGCUGCCCAAAGCAUCAAUCAACUUCUAACUGUCCUUUAUCUAGCAUCAUUUUUGAAAUGACAGCAUCUGAUUGGUUGCUUUGGGCAACUACUCCACUCUCUCUCCAAAGCUUGACACAUCUCCCCUUAUAUGAGAAGGGGUUCUUUUAAUUGAAAGCCCUUUGCCUGCCUAGUAGGAAUUACAGUACAAUGCCACAGAAUUCACCCAGCGCAAAGACGUUCGUAAAAGCCUUCUAAUUGUGAAAAUUUACCAAAGACACUUCAAGGACCAAACGAGGAGAGACAUCUCAUAAACUGCCAACAGAACUCAACCACAGCAUUAUAUUGUUCCUUGACACAACUUAGUGGUGACAAAUGACCCUUUUCCUGAUGCAGUGACACAUUCAGAAAACCUUCUAGAUGACCUUGUAACUGUUCCUGUAACGCAAUACUAGAAGGUCAUUCACCCACCCAUGAUGGAGAAAGAAACUGUUCUUCAACAUAAGGAAGGUACUGGCAGUUUGCUUGCUUGCAUUUGAAUGAUGUGUUAUGGUGGAGGGGGGCUGUGUGACAUGGUUUUUCUGCAGGCUUUGCAUACCUGUAAGUUAUUUAAUAUUUUUUACAAUAAAUAUUUUUUUAUUAAA
Pseudophryne corroboree (corroboree frog) is the source of this 1351-nucleotide long non-coding RNA. RefSeq lists it as uncharacterized. NCBI's taxonomy places the organism in Eukaryota, Metazoa, Chordata, Amphibia, Anura, Myobatrachidae. The transcript is spliced from 2 exons. The record is from RefSeq and is a predicted model, not a curated record.